This is a long non-coding RNA of Passer domesticus (house sparrow), 5119 nucleotides long. RefSeq lists it as uncharacterized. NCBI's taxonomy places the organism in Eukaryota, Metazoa, Chordata, Aves, Passeriformes, Passeridae. The transcript is spliced from 8 exons. The record is from RefSeq and is a predicted model, not a curated record.
GGUGAAAAGAGCAUGUGUUUAUUGGUCCUGCAUGGAAGGGGCUGAAAUGAAUCGAGUUUGGUAACAACAGACCUUGUAACAUCCCUAAUAUAUAUUUUCCAGGGGGUGUUAUGGUCUGAUGUUCAGUGAGGCACGGAGAGCAGACUCAUCUCAAUCUACAAGGUGUCAGAUAUGGCAGGAAGGGAUAGUGUGGGGCUGCAGACCCCUUCAUCUGCCUUUCUCCUUGAGAGCUGGAUUUGCCAAGACUAUCUGCUGUGGACAUUUUGAGAGCGCCUAAAAAUUCAAUUUCCACAAUGAUGAAGAGUGCAAAAGAAUGCGGAAAAUGAGAGCAAUGUAUUCAAAUUGAUGGUGUUGCAAUGGCAGUGUGACUCCAGAAGCCUCUGCUCCCUUACCUCAUGUCAGCCCAUGUGAGGCAGCACCAAGGAGUGGUUUGGCCAUCUGAGGAUGUGCAGAGUGCCCAGAGAGGCGUGUUAGACAAGAUGAUGAUGGUGAGGCCUUCCAGAUGAAGCUGGAUCCCAGCAGAUAAGUGUUCACAGGGCUAUUUUCAAAGUCCUUCACCCUGCCUUGUUGCUUGUUUUAACCCCUGACAAAGGGCCAUGGCACUGCCCAGCGGGUUCUCAUUUGUGCACUGGCUUUCAGAGAGUUUAAUGAUCAGCAGGUGAUGGUUCUAUCUGGGCUGGGGAGGUGCUGCCUUGGACUGUGACGUUCCAGCUGGGCUGCAUCCGCUGAUUAUGAUGAUUAUUUUCAGCAGCUUUAUUGCAUUGGUGAUAAACUGAGACAUUCUUCUUAUAAACAACAAGAAACUUUGAACCUUUGAAACACUCCCUGAACUGUGGAGAACUUGUUAAGCUGGAUAGCCCUCAGUGAGGAAGCAAAGUGCAAAGUGCUGCCAGCCUUGUGUUACUCACAGGUCCUUGCAGGUGGCCUCAGAGAAUCUUCCUGGUUCACCAAUGACCAGUGAGGGGUGCUCUGAAGCCCUAUCCAAAUACCGUGUGAAAGUAAUUUGUCUUGGACAUGGGAGGUUUGCUUGCAAACAACUGCACUUCUUUUCCUGCAGAGCUCAACUGCAAGUUUGCUCCUUGUAACCAGACAAAGUCACUGGCUAGUCAAUGUCUGCCUUGAACAGAUUAGUUUGAAUUCCUGUGUAUGUAGUAGUUUAAGCUCAGGUAUUGGUUUCGCUAUAUUUCUGUUUGUGUUAGGAAUGAAUUGAUUUUUUUUAUUAUUUUUUUUUACUGGGCUAGCAUUUUAAAAGACCAAAAACUCUCCCUUGCUGCCAAACCAGGAUGGUCAUUAAAGGAUUUUAAUAUUCUUUCCUUUUAUUGCCAGAACUACUCUUGGGAUAAACUGACUAUGUGAAAAGUAAUUCCUUUAUGCCCUUCACUCUGCGCUUCAAGAAAUGGAAGGAUCCACAUGGAUCAAUAGGACUUGGACACCCAAAAGAAAGAAAAACUUUUCUUUAGCACGAUCUUAUUCUGAAGGAAAACUGUCUUGUCUUAUCCAGUGUGUUUUCAGGUGCUGCAUUCUGUAGUCUUCAUGAGGAAGUGAUCCAAGUGCUCCCCCAAGCCCACAAUAACACACUUUGACUGACAUGGAUCGUUUUUCUGAGGCUCACAACCUCUGAUUCCUGCACAUUCCUAUUGGGUCUCAGAAGAGCUUGAGGUCCUGGCAAGUAAUGCAAGUCACGGAGUGUGGAAGACAUUCCCAGGAGGUGCUGUCCCAGAGGUGCCAGUUCUAUCAGGUCUCUUCCCAUCAGUGAAGGGCAGGAACAAAGCCUGGCAAUGAAAGGCAAUUUCUCCUAACCCAGUGGGCGAGCGCAGUGUGCCAUCACUUCAUUCCAUGGAGAGGUGCCACAGAAUGCUCUCUACUCACUCUACAGAGAGGAGUGAUCCCCUCUGAGCCUUCUUUUUAAUUCUUUGGGAAUAGACAAAACAGAAAAGAACUGACAGAAGCAGCAUGAACAAUAAGCUGUGUUUUCCAGAAUCGAUAGUGAAAACCAGGAAAUUUUUGGCUGAAGAAGAAGAAGAAGAAGAAGAAGAAGAAGAAGAAGAAGAAGAAGAAGAAGAAGAAGAAGAAGGAAGAGAAGGAGGAGGUUUUGAAGAGGGUUUUGUCUGGAGUCUUUAGGAGGUGGAAGACAGAAUUGAAGAUCAGCUUGAGGGAUGCUGUGUCCAGUGGUUAAAUCCAUCAUCUUCCAUCAUGGAAUCAUGCAUCAUAAAAUGGUUUGGUUUGGUUUGGUUUGGUUUGGGCUGGGAGGCACCUUACAGGUCAUCUUGUUCCAGGUGAAAAUUUAGGAUUAUCUCUGAGCAAAUGAAUUGUUUGUGGAGCACCAAAUAAAACCAAUGUCCCAAAUGUCCUCCUUGCUUUCCCACAUUGCAGUUCCAGGUUAUGCUGCUUUUUUUGGUAGCAAAAAUGGUGUAAGAAAUCCUGACUCUCUGUUGAUUCACAUGUCUCAGAUUGCCUCUCCUUUCUUCUGUCAGGGGUAAAACCACUCCUACCCAUUCCCCAAAAAACCAGGCACAGGUUGGCAAGGCUUGCUGCAACUGGCUCCUCUACCAGAGGCAGCACAGCCCAGACCUGCCAGCUCCUCACCUCACAUUGCCCAAGUGCCAGACUUCCCAUUUCACCCAAAAAUGCACCUGAAAAGGUUUGAAGUUUGCCUGCUGCUGCCUGACUGCAGCACUGGAUUAACAAGUGACGGGAGCACGUGGAACCAAGUUCAAGAGUUGGCAGAUUCAUUUGCAUAUGAGAGGCCAAAAUAAGCAAAUAAAAACUGCCACACAAAACGAACCAGAAUUGGAAUUGGCUAAACACUUCCCCGUGAAAUGGAUUUUCGAAGUGACUCUUGAACUCUUCAGUGGAAAGACAGAUUCAUUUUCAAUGGAGUUUGAUCUUGCUCUUCAGCUUCAUUUGUAAGACCAAUUACAGAGCAUUUUGUACAACAAUUACGGGCAUUAAAACCACUCUGUUCCAUUUGAUGAAUUUUAAUAGUAAUUGAACAGAAGAAGCCAUCAACUGAAAGAUUGUCCAAUCAAGUAUGCCCACAUACUGAACUGUAAUUUCCACUCCACAAAUGUGUAAUGCCAUUUGAAACUACCAAAAUGUCCUCUCCCCACCAACACCCAAGCAGAUUGGAGGAUUUGUUCCAAAACAACUUUAUUCCCUGAGGCUCCAAGUACACAGAAAACACACUGACCACAGUCCUGUGAUAAUUCCUGUGUGCAACUUUGUCCUGCAAAGCUCCCUGGAGCUCAUUCUUGGACAGGCAUUUGCAGAGGGCUGAUGACCAUAAAUGUUUGUGGGUAGCACCCUACAAGUCACUGUACAAAGUCCCCUCUUUGUGAAGAAAGACAUUUUUGGAGUACGUGCUCCGAGGAACUUUGUAAGAUAUUGAAAGAGCUGGGUGGCUUCUUCGUGUGAGUGCAGGGAAUGGAAUCCAUCCCCUGGACACUGGUCUGGUAUUUACAUUUGAGUUGGGUUCAGCUUCUUCCCUUGAAAAGAAUGUGCAGAAUGGUGGGCUGAAGAAAUAUAGUCCUGAAACAGAUAAUUUGGUUACAAGGAGAGGCCCCUCACAGCCACUAAAGAAUAGAUAUUUGGGCUAGAAGAGUCCAGAUGGUUUCCACAAGACCCAAACAGACUUUGACUUAUGUUACAAGCCCAAAAGCCACAAAAGCAAUGCAGUAUGGCAGAGCAGAGGAGAUCAAAGGCCUCACCAGUGUCCUGGGUCUCAGAAGAAUGCUAAUGCAUUUCUUAUUCUUUGUUGUGAACAUUUUGUUGUUAUUUUUUUCCUACUAAACCUGCCCUUUCUGUCUGAGGUUGGCCUGUGCUGUACUGAAAAUUCCUUGAGGGAAGUUGUGUUCUUCGUUGGAUUUGCUGUAAAUUAGAAGAACAAAAGAACUAUUUUGAUGAACUUGCUCUCAAUGGGAUUUCCAGGCUCGCUUGGGAAACAAAAAGAGAUUUUGAUAGUUUAGAUCAGUGGGAGAUAAGUGUCCAACUGUCAGAGCCUUCCUUUGAAGUGGGUUUUCCCUUGCCAGUGCUCACUACAACUGUAAGUUCAAUUUAAAGACAAAAGAUGAAGUCUUGGCCUUUCUGAAGUCAGUAAGAGUUUUAUCACUGACAACUCAGAGGCCAGGAUUUCACCCAAGAUGUUUGUACAGGCACUAACUUUAGCAUCUUGUUGAGAGCCACAUGAAAUAUUUAUGUUGAAGAGUGAAACUGUAUUGUUUUCUUGCAUCUCAUUCUGGACACAAAAAUGACCCCGUCUCACUGGAAAAUCACCACUCUUUUAUGAAAAUCAUACAAUUUCAGUUGUGAGAUGCCUUAUCCUGGUGUGGUCCAACUGAGGGUUGCAAUGUGUGAUUUUAAAAGGAGUUAAAAGCAGUAUGUCUUCGUGCAAUAGAUCUGACUUUUUUUCUUGCUAGUUUUCAUUUUGGUUUAGAACAGUUUAAUAAUGAAGUUUUCAUGUGAAUGGGAAGAUCUGUUUUCCCCCCAACUAAAAUUUCCAUCCAUGAGUUCACAUGUUUAAAAAAUAUUUGUCAAAUCCUGCCUUUAAAAGCCCAGAACACAGCUUUUCCUGGAAGUGCUGGAGGUUCCAUACUUCUGUAAGUGGUGCCAGUCAAUCAGUCAGUGGGUGCAAAGUUUUACAGAAAAAGCUCAGCUUUUUACUUUACUAAAUGAACUGCAGAAAACCUCUGCCUAGUAACAAACCUAUCCAAGCUUCUGAAAUGCAGACAAACACAAACCUGGCAUAAAUAAUUUUUUUUCAGAACUUCUUCCCUCUUUUCCCCCAGAUAGAGACAAGAUCCAAACAAGUGAAAUCUGGGAAAAAUAGAAAGGGAAUGGGGACAGAUAAAUGCUGAGGUACUCACAGGGAUCCUUUUGAAAAUAAAGGCCAAAAAAAAAGUGCAAAUUAAAGGCCAGAGAAUUUUUCCCUGCUUGUCUCUUAGUCCCCUCCCCCUUUCAAACAUUGCGUCUUAUUUCUUUCAUUUUAUAUAUUUUAGUGUUUCAGUCGCUGGCUCCUGCAUUGAGUUUUUUCACCCUUCACACACCAUCACAUACUGCCUGCCUUUCUUUGACCACACUCUGUGUUGUAAUAAUAAUAAUAAAAAACUGGGCCUGAUUUUAA